This 292-nucleotide ribosomal RNA is filed under the name uncultured bacterium. RNAcentral describes it as "partial 16S ribosomal RNA". It matches the Rfam family "Bacterial small subunit ribosomal RNA", at positions 505 to 796 of the family's 1533-position model. The record is from RNAcentral.
GUGUCAGCAGCCGCGGUAAUACGUAGGGACCAAGCGUUGUUCGGAUUUACUGGGCGUAAAGGGCGCGUAGGCGGCAAUUCAAGUCAGCUGUGAAAUCUCUGGGCUUAACCCAGAACGGCCAGCUGAUACUGCUUUGCUAGAGUGCAGAAGGGGCAAUCGGAAUUCUUGGUGUAGCGGUGAAAUGCGUAGAUAUCAAGAGGAACACCUGAGGUGAAGACGGGUUGCUGGGCUGACACUGACGCUGAGGCGCGAAAGCCAGGGGAGCAAACGGGAUUAGAUACCCGGGUAGUCC